UAAUAGCUCACUGGUCGAGUCGGCCUGCGCGGAAGAUGUAACGGGGCUAAACCAUGCACCGAAGCUGCGGCAGCGACGCUGAUGCGUUGUUGGGUAGGGGAGCGUUCUGUAAGCCUGUGAAGGUGUGCUGUGAGGCAUGCUGGAGGUAUCAGAAGUGCGAAUGCUGACAUAAGUAACGAUAAAGCGGGUGAAAAGCCCGCUCGCCGGAAGACCAAGGGUUCCUGUCCAACGUUAAUCGGGGCAGGGUGAGUCGACCCCUAAGGCGAGGCCGAAAGGCGUAGUCGAUGGGAAACAGGUUAAUAUUCCUGUACUUGGUGUUACUGCGAAGGGGGGACGGAGAAGGCUAUGUUGGCCGGGCGACGGUUGUCCCGGUUUAAGCGUGUAGGCUGGUUUUCCAGGCAAAUCCGGAAAAUCAAGGCUGAGGCGUGAUGACGAGGCACUACGGUGCUGAAGCAACAAAUGCCCUGCUUCCAGGAAAAGCCUCUAAGCAUCAGGUAACAUCAAAUCGUACCCCAAACCGACACAGGUGGUCAGGUAGAGAAUACCAAGGCGCUUGAGAGAACUCGGGUGAAGGAACUAGGCAAAAUGGUGCCGUAACUUCGGGAGAAGGCACGCUGAUAUGUAGGUGAAG
Molecule: ribosomal RNA, 631 nt
Filed under: Escherichia coli
Lineage: Bacteria; Pseudomonadati; Pseudomonadota; Gammaproteobacteria; Enterobacterales; Enterobacteriaceae
Description: partial 23S ribosomal RNA
Rfam family: Bacterial large subunit ribosomal RNA
Source: RNAcentral